UUUUUNCUUCUAAAAAAUUAUCCUUUNNGUGAAGAGACUUAAAUAAAAUAAAAAGACAAAAAGACCCUAUUGAGCUUUAUUUCAUAAGUUAAACUUCUAUAGCCCAUGCAAAAGAACCUUACCUAUAGAAAUUUUGUUGGGGCGACAAGAGAAGACCUAAAUCUUCUCUAUACUACAAGAAUAUUCCUCUACUAAUGAUCCGUAAUUAACGAUUAACAGAACCAGCUACCAUAGGGAUAACAGGCUAAUCUUCUUUGAGAGCCCAAAUUGACAAGAAGGAUUGGCACCUCGAUGUUGGCUUAGGAUACCUGAUAGAUGCAGAA
This 323-nucleotide ribosomal RNA is filed under the name Marenzelleria sp. CFS-1997. RNAcentral's name for it is "partial 16S ribosomal RNA". It matches the Rfam family "Bacterial large subunit ribosomal RNA", at positions 2048 to 2560 of the family's 2925-position model. The record is from RNAcentral. Lineage: Eukaryota; Metazoa; Annelida; Polychaeta; Spionida; Spionidae.